Molecule: non-coding RNA, 46 nt
Organism: Trichobilharzia regenti
Lineage: Eukaryota; Metazoa; Platyhelminthes; Trematoda; Strigeidida; Schistosomatidae
Source: Rfam
GUACUGCUGAAGAGUCGUAAACUAGGACGAAACAGCUGUCCAGUAC